Molecule: long non-coding RNA, 2046 nt
Filed under: Nicotiana tabacum (common tobacco)
Lineage: Eukaryota; Viridiplantae; Streptophyta; Magnoliopsida; Solanales; Solanaceae
Description: long non-coding RNA (NTAB_LNC006157)
Source: RNAcentral
GGGUAGCGAGAGUCUAGAUCCUCCCUCAGCCUGAGAGACUGCUGGUGCUACAGGAAAUGUGCCAGUCUGAGCUACGCUCUCCAUAAGGCACUAGACGGACCAAAGCAUCCUGAAGUACCGAGGUGGCGAUGAACCCCUCGGGAACCUGAGCUGGCCCUGCCGGAAUGGUCUGACCCGGAACCUCAUCAUGGAACUCCACCUGAGGCUCCGUUACUGGUGUUGCUGCUCGAGCUCUAGCCUGAGCCCUGCCCCUACCUCGGCCUCUGGCACGGCCUCAGCCUCUGCCCCUCGUAGGAGCUUCCACUGGGGGCUUGAGCUACUGAUCAGUUGAUAAAGAGGUACGUGUUCUCGCCACCUGCAAAAGAACAAGAGUAUAAAGUUCGAUUAGCAUUGAGAAAUCAAAUCGCACGACAGAGAAGAAUAGAAGUGAAGUUGUUCCUAAGCUCUAUAACUUCUAACGGAUAAGCACAGACGUCUCCAUACCGAUCCCUCGGACUCUACCUAGCUUGUUCGUGAAUUGUGAAACCUAUACAACUUAGUACUCUGAUACCAACUUGUCACGACCUGGAUAUCCCUACCGUCAGGAUCGUGAUGGCGCCUAACUCUUCGAAAUGCUAGGCAAUCCAACACAUAAAGAUCUAAUAUGCUAACCGCUAUCCAAAACAGUAAAUAACAAUAAUUAAGCCAAAACGAAGUGAAGAAGAGCAAAAAAUUUAUAAUAAUUCAAAAAUUACUGCACGAUUAUCCAAAAAUCUGCUCUCGCAAUCCACGAACUUCUAAGAGUCACUACAAAUACUAGUUUUAAGAAAAUACAUUUGUUCUCGAAAUAAAAGAAAACAGGGAAACUAGGAUAACUGGAAGAGGACUCAAGGGUUUGCGAACGCCGGCAAAUCUACCUUGGGUCUCCUAUGGACUGAAGGCAGCGAACCAACUCUAAUCAAUGCGGUCCAAUACCAGAAUCUGCACAAAAAAUGCAGGGUACAGUAUCCGUACAACCGACCCCAUGUACUGGUAAGUGUCUAGCCUAACCUCGGUGAAGUAAAGACAAGGCUAGGACACGACAAUAACAUGAACUUGUGCAGUUAAAUCAUAUAUGAGAAGAUAACAACAAAUGGAAAUUUAACAGAUAUUAACGGGAAGGUGGAGAAACAUGCUGAGGGGAAUAUCAAUUCUUGAAAUAGUACAAUAAAGAAACGCAGUAAAUAACAUGCCUUACACCUAUGAAAGUAAUAAAACGGCAAACAAGUGUGUGGCAUCACCCUUCGUGUUUUUACUAUCAUUCUCACCAUAAGAAGCAACAGAAACGGCAUGACAUCACCCUUCGUGCAUUAGCUCGCUCAUAACAUGGCAUGACAUCGCCCUUCGUGCAUUAACUCUCUCAUAAAAUACGGCACGGCAUCGCCCUUCGAGCAUUAUCACUCACAGAAUAUGGCACGGCAUCACCCAUCGUGCAUUAUCACUCACAAUACAUUGCACAGUAUCACCCUUCGUGUUUUACACUCUUCCUCACCCAAACAACAGAACAAUAACAACCCGACAAUGGAAUUAUCAAUAACCAACCUCGUUUCAAUAUUUAACUUUCACAAUAUAAAUCUCAACUUUAGUCAAUACUCAACCAAUAUCUAAUUCCACGAAAAACAUGAUAAGAUUUGUUUAACAUGAAGAAUAACCAGUUUAAGCAUGAACAGUACAAAUAAAGAAUACAACAGUCACAAGUAAUAGACUCACUCGCAUGCUAUGACUCGAUGACAACGUAUACGUACUCCUCACCUCACCUAUAUGUCGUACUCAACAACCAAACACAUAGCAAAUAAGGCAACAACACUUAAUCCCUCAAGCUAAGGUUAGCCACAACACUUACCUCGAUUCCACGACCGAACUCAAGCCUCUAUCACUGUUUUCCCUUAGUUUCCACCUCUGAACCACUCGUAUCUAGUCAUAAUUAACUUUAUAAUAUCAAUUAUCGCUAAAGAAAGCAAUCCCAAUGCACAAUUACAAGCUUCCCAACAUUUUUCCCAAAAAGUCAAAAACCGACCUCGGGCCCGC